This 253-nucleotide ribosomal RNA is filed under the name uncultured bacterium. RNAcentral describes it as "partial 16S ribosomal RNA". It matches the Rfam family "Bacterial small subunit ribosomal RNA", at positions 524 to 776 of the family's 1533-position model. The record is from RNAcentral.
UACAGAGGUCCCAAGCGUUGUUCGGAUUCACUGGGCGUAAAGGGUGCGUAGGUGGUGAGGUAAGUCGGAUGUGAAAGCUCGGAGCUCAACUCCGAAAUGGCAUUGGAAACUACCUUGCUCGAGGGUUGGAGGGGGGACUGGAAUGCUUGGUGUAGCAGUGAAAUGCGUAGAUAUCAAGUGGAACACCAGUGGCGAAGGCGAAUCUCUGGACAAUUCCUGACACUGAUGCUCGAAAGCUAGGGGAGCAAACGGG